GAUGAACGCUGGCGGCGUGCCUAAUACAUGCAAGUCGAGCGAACAGACGAGGAGCUUGCUCCUUCGACGUUAGCGGCGGACGGGUGAGUAACACGUAGGUAACCUACCUAUAAGACUGGGAUAACUUCGGGAAACCGGAGCUAAUACCGGAUAAUAUUUCGAACCGCAUGGCUCGAUAGUGAAAGAUGGCUUUGCUAUCACUUAUAGAUGGACCUGCGCCGUAUUAGCUAGUUGGUAAGGUAACGGCCUACCAAGGCAACGAUACGUAGCCGACCUGAGAGGGUGAUCGGCCACACUGGAACUGAGACACGGUCCAGACUCCUACGGGAGGCAGCAGUAGGGAAUCUUCCGCAAUGGGCGAAAGCCUGACGGAGCAACGCCGCGUGAGUGAUGAAGGUCUUCGGAUCGUAAAACUCUGUUAUUAGGGAAGAACAAACGUGUAAGUAACUGUGCACGUCUUGACGGUACCUAAUCAGAAAGCCACGGCUAACUACGUG
Molecule: ribosomal RNA, 497 nt
Filed under: uncultured bacterium
Lineage: Bacteria
Description: partial 16S ribosomal RNA
Rfam family: Bacterial small subunit ribosomal RNA
Source: RNAcentral